Long non-coding RNA from Gasterosteus aculeatus aculeatus (three-spined stickleback), 1137 nucleotides. NCBI's taxonomy places the organism in Eukaryota, Metazoa, Chordata, Actinopteri, Perciformes, Gasterosteidae. The record is from Ensembl.
AAUGAAUUGUGUGUCAAAUUACCUGGAGAGCUUUUGAGCCGAGGUGAUGUGACCACACGUCCUCUGCGUGUCACAUGACCGAUAGUGAGAAUGGAGCCUUGGUUUUACAAGCAGCUCAUUUGACACUCGGCCGAUGGAGACAUUUAGUUCAGCGUCUCUCGGCACACGACGCCAGGAAAGAAUCAAUUUUCCCGUCCGAUCUUAUUUAACAAAUACACGUCCUUGAUGCAUUGUGCUCUGACAGAAACUUUAAUAUCACCCAGGACACCACCUGCAAUUUGAAACGAGAGUCAGUGAAUGGGAUUCGGAGGUUGUGUUGGCAGUGAAUCCACCAGUCGAAUGCAGCGCUGGAGACAGAGAGCUGCACCUCAGCAUGACGAAUGUCAUGUGCCUCCACAACAUGAGACAUAUUUGAGUUUACAGGGACAUUAAGGAUUAGAGACCGAAGGGAAAAACCCACAAGACGUUUAUUCAUUCAUUCAGCAAAUAUUUAAUUUAGUCAGUAAAGAUGUUUUAACAAGAAAACAGUAAAAACCUGACUAAAAAAAUGACCUCAUCUCAGGACUUAUGGUUAAGAAGGGACAAUAAUGGUUCUGGGUUUAAGGGGGGCACUAAGGGUUUACAUUAGCAUUUAGCUGACGCUUCUAUCCAAAGUGACUUACAUUGCAUUUGUAACCCAUGGUUUUUCACAUUUGGCCCGGGGCGCAAUUACGGGUUGGGUGUCUUGCUCAGGGACACUUUGACAUGGGACAUGGAGCAGCCAGGGUUUGAACCACUAACCUUGCGGUUCCCAGUGCUCCCUCUCUACUUCAUGCGCCAUCGUCGCCCGGGUUUAGGGUUGAGGAGGGGCACUAAGGGUUUAGGGUUGAGGAGGGGCACUAAGGGUUUAGGGUAAAGGAGGGGCACUAAGGGUUUAGGGUUGAGGAGGGGCCCUAAGGUUUUAGGGUUGAGGAGGGGCACUAAGGGUUUAGGGUUGAGGAGGGGCCCUAAGGGUUUAGGGUUGAGGGGGGACAUUGGACCAGAGUAACUUCCCCUUGAGCUACCGAUUCGUUGACGAUUUGCUGACGGGUAUAAAGACCGAGCUGGGACGCGUCCUCACCGGAGCAAACAUGGGUCACUCCGAGACGGGGGGAGAGG